CCUACGGGUGGCAGCAGUGAGGAAUAUUGGUCAAUGGCCGAGAGGCUGAACCAGCCAAGUCGCGUGAGGGAAGACGGCCCUACGGGUUGUCAACCUCUUUUGUCGGGGAGCAAAGCGAACCACGUGUGGUUCAUUGUGAGUACCCGAAGAAAAAGCAUCGGCUAACUCCGUGCCAGCAGCCGCGGUAAUACGGAGGCUGCGAGCGUUAUCCGGAUUUAUUGGGUUAAAGGGGUGCGCAGGCGGAGGUGCAAGUCAGCGGUCAAAUGGUGGGGCUCAACCCCGUACUGCCGUUGAAACUGCAUCCCUUGAGUGCGCGAGAAGUAUGCGGAAUGCGUGGUGUAGCGGUGAAAUGCAUAGAUAUCACGCAGAACUCCGAUUGCGAAGGCAGCAGACCGGCGCGCAACUGACGCUCAUGCACGAAAGCGUGGGUAUCGAACAGGAUUAGAUACCCUAGUAGUC
RNAcentral lists this ribosomal RNA (459 nucleotides) under uncultured bacterium. RNAcentral describes it as "partial 16S ribosomal RNA". It matches the Rfam family "Bacterial small subunit ribosomal RNA", at positions 338 to 795 of the family's 1533-position model. The record is from RNAcentral.